This 796-nucleotide ribosomal RNA is filed under the name uncultured Methanosarcinaceae archaeon. RNAcentral's name for it is "bacterial SSU rRNA". It matches the Rfam family "Archaeal small subunit ribosomal RNA", at positions 85 to 879 of the family's 1478-position model. The record is from RNAcentral. Lineage: Archaea; Methanobacteriati; Methanobacteriota; Methanomicrobia; Methanosarcinales; Methanosarcinaceae.
ACUGCUCAGCAACACGUGGAUAACCUGCCCUUGGGUCCGGCAUAACUCCGGGAAACUGGAGAUAAUUCCGGAUAACGCAUAUAUGCUGGAAUGCUUUAUGCGUAAAAUGGAUUCGUCUGCCCAGGGAUGGGUCUGCGGCCUAUCAGGUAGUAGUGGGUGUAAUGUACCUACUAGCCUACGACGGGUACGGGUUGUGAGAGCAAGAGCCCGGAGAUGGAUUCUGAGACAUGAAUCCAGGCCCUACGGGGCGCAGCAGGCGCGAAAACUUUACAAUGCGGGAAACCGUGAUAAGGGGACACCGAGUGCCAGCAUCAUAUGCUGGCUGUCCAGGUGUGUAAAAUACACCUGUUAGCAAGGGCCGGGCAAGACCGGUGCCAGCCGCCGCGGUAACACCGGCGGCCCGAGUGGUGAUCGUGAUUAUUGGGUCUAAAGGGUCCGUAGCCGGUUUGGUCAGUCCUCCGGGAAAUCUGAUAGCUUAACUAUUAGGCUUUCGGAGGAUACUGCCAGACUUGGAACCGGGAGAGGUAAGAGGUACUACAGGGGUAGGAGUGAAAUCUUGUAAUCCCUGUGGGACCACCUGUGGCGAAGGCGUCUUACCAGAACGGGUUCGACGGUGAGGGACGAAAGCUGGGGGCACGAACCGGAUUAGAUACCCGGGUAGUCCCAGCCGUAAACGAUGCUCGCUAGGUGUCAGGCAUGGCGCGACCGUGUCUGGUGCCGCAGGGAAGCCGUGAAGCGAGCCACCUGGGAAGUACGGCCGCAAGGCUGAAACUUAAAGGAAUUGGCGGGGGAGCAC